Molecule: unclassified non-coding RNA, 279 nt
Filed under: Hevea brasiliensis (rubber tree)
Lineage: Eukaryota; Viridiplantae; Streptophyta; Magnoliopsida; Malpighiales; Euphorbiaceae
Source: RNAcentral
GGCACCAAAGCUGUACCAUCUUGAGGUUGUUCUUGGCCAUUUUAAGAAGUGGACAGUCCCUGAAAACUUACCUCAUGUCCACAAUUACACAAAGUUGCUCUUCUCCAGGGAAUCUUUUCAGAAGACCAAGGCUGCAAAGGAACAUGUGAUUGCAGGGUGGGAGCCUAAGGUCAACGCAUGAAGUAGUUCUAAGUUAUAAGUAUGUUGAACUCUAGGUAUGAAAUGCGGUUGAGAAUUGAAAAUUGUGUAUCAGACAUGUAUGCUGGAGGAGAGCAACUU